AAAGAUGUGCUAAUACCGCAUAAACUCCAUGGAGAAAAGCAGGGGAUCUUAGGACCUUGCGCUAAAGGAGCGGCCGAUGCCUGAUUAGCUAGUUGGUGGGGUAAAAGCCUACCAAGGCUACGAUCAGUAGUUGGUCUGAGAGGACGACCAACCACACUGGGACUGAGACACGGCCCAGACUCCUACGGGAGGCAGCAGUGGGGAAUUUUGGACAAUGGGCGAAAGCCUGAUCCAGCCAUGCCGCGUGAGUGAAGAAGGCCUUCGGGUUGUAAAGCUCUUUCAGUCGGAAAGAAACGAUUGCGACUAAUACUUGCAAUUAAUGACGGUACCGACAGAAGAAGCACCGGCUAACUACGUGCCAGCAGCCGCGGUAAUACGUAGGGUGCGAGCGUUAAUCGGAAUUACUGGGCGUAAAGGGUGCGCAGGCGGUUUUGUAAGUCAGAUGUGAAAUCCCCGGGCUUAACCUGGGAAUUGCGUUUGAAACUGCAAGGCUAGAGUGCAGCAGAGGGGAGUGGAAUUCCACGUGUAGCAGUGAAAUGCGUAGAGAUGUGGAAGAACACCGAUGGCGAAGGCAGCUCCCUGGGUUAGCACUGACGCUCAUGCACGAUAGCGUGGGGAGCAAACAGGAUUAGAUACCCUGUUAGUCCACGCCCUAAACGAUGUCAACUAGUUGUCGGAUCCUAAUUAAGGAUUUGGUAACGUNUCUAACGCGUGAAAGUUUGACCCGCCUGGGGAGUACGGUUCGCCAAGAAUUAAAACUCAAAGGAAAUUGACGUGGGACCCGCACAAGCCGGUGUAUU
This 800-nucleotide ribosomal RNA is filed under the name uncultured Pseudomonadota bacterium. RNAcentral describes it as "bacterial SSU rRNA". It matches the Rfam family "Bacterial small subunit ribosomal RNA", at positions 154 to 938 of the family's 1533-position model. The record is from RNAcentral. Lineage: Bacteria; Pseudomonadati; Pseudomonadota.